GAAAGCACAUAGAGUCACGUUAUUACCUGCUGGAUGUGAGAAGCCUAGAGAAGGCACAAAAAGUAAUGGGAGAGAUUUACUAAGCUAAAUGGCGCAUGUUGGAGCAGGGCUAUGACCAGACCUGGGUCCACGCUGAGUGGCAGGCCAUUGUGAGGGAGAUCCGUUCCGAGCUCAAGAGGAAGUUUAAGGGCAAUCACCCUAGGAUGGCCAUAUAAAAAAAAAGGUCGGAUUUGAAGAGGAGGAAUUCAGAGCGGACCAGAGAGAUCCGUGACAGAAAAUGCCCAGGAUCAUUUUCGGGUUGGAUAUAAGUGGAAAACACAUUUUUGCAUCUACAAAAUUUGUCACAUGUACAGUAAAAUAUCCAG
Bufo bufo (common toad) is the source of this 365-nucleotide long non-coding RNA. RefSeq lists it as uncharacterized. Lineage: Eukaryota; Metazoa; Chordata; Amphibia; Anura; Bufonidae. The transcript has 3 exons. The record is from RefSeq and is a predicted model, not a curated record.